This 27-nucleotide small RNA is filed under the name Bombyx mori (domestic silkworm). Its description in RNAcentral is "ovarian small RNA-20379". The record is from RNAcentral. Lineage: Eukaryota; Metazoa; Arthropoda; Insecta; Lepidoptera; Bombycidae.
UACAUAGUUGGCAAACAAGCAAUAGGA